AGGGGUGCAAAGCCGCGAGGCAGAGCAAAUCCCUAAAAGCCAUCCCAGUUCGGAUUGUAGGCUGCAACCCGCCUGCAUGAAGUUGGAAUUGCUAGUAAUCGCGGAUCAGCAUGCCGCGGUGAAUACGUUCCCGGGGAUUGUACACACCGCCCGUCACACCAUGGGAGUCGGAAAUGCCCGAAGUCAGUGACCCAACCGUAAGGAGGGAGCUGCCGAAGGUGGAGCCGGUAACUGGGGUGAAGUCGUAACAAGGUACC
Molecule: ribosomal RNA, 257 nt
Filed under: uncultured bacterium
Lineage: Bacteria
Description: partial 16S ribosomal RNA
Rfam family: Bacterial small subunit ribosomal RNA
Source: RNAcentral